Molecule: ribosomal RNA, 253 nt
Filed under: Blautia wexlerae DSM 19850
Lineage: Bacteria; Bacillati; Bacillota; Clostridia; Lachnospirales; Lachnospiraceae
Description: partial 16S ribosomal RNA
Rfam family: Bacterial small subunit ribosomal RNA
Source: RNAcentral
UACGUAGGGGGCAAGCGUUAUCCGGAUUUACUGGGUGUAAAGGGAGCGUAGACGGUGUGGCAAGUCUGAUGUGGAAGGCAUGGGCUCAACCUGUGGACUGCAUUGGAAACUGUCAUACUUGAGUGCCGGAGGGGUAAGCGGAAUUCCUAGUGUAGCGGUGAAAUGCGUAGAUAUUAGGAGGAACACCAGUGGCGAAGGCGGCUUACUGGACGGUAACUGACGUUGAGGCUCGAAAGCGUGGGGAGCAAACAGG